Molecule: ribosomal RNA, 467 nt
Filed under: uncultured bacterium
Lineage: Bacteria
Description: partial 16S ribosomal RNA
Rfam family: Bacterial small subunit ribosomal RNA
Source: RNAcentral
GACGAACGCUGGCGGCGUGCUUAUCACAUGCAAGUCGAACGGAAAGGCCCUGCUUUUGUGGGGUGCUCGAGUGGCGAACGGGUGAGUAACACGUGAGUAACCUGCCCUUGACUUUGGGAUAACUUCAGGAAACUGGGGCUAAUACCGGAUAGGAGCUCCUGCUGCAUGGUGGGGGUUGGAAAGUUUCGGCGGUUGGGGAUGGACUCGCGGCUUAUCAGCUUGUUGGUGGGGUAGUGGCUUACCAAGGCCUUGACGGGUAGCCGGCCUGAGAGGGUGACCGGCCACAUUGGGACUGGGAUACGGCCCAGACGCCUACGGGGGGCAGCGGUGGGGAAUAUUGCACAAUGGGCGGAAGCCUGAUGCAGCAACGCCGCGUGCGGGAUGACGGCCUUCGGGUUGGAAACCGCUUUCGCCUGUGACGAAGCGUGAGUGACGGUAAUGGGUAAAGAAGCACCGGCUAACUACGU